CUGGAACUUAUGAAAAAGUAGUUUUAUCAGGUAAAGCGAAUGAUUAGAGGCUUUGGGGAAGAAACUUCCUCGACCUAUUCUCAAACUUUAAAUAGGUAAGAUUUGAAGGAUACUUAGGUGAUCUUUCAAUAUUUUGAAUAUAAAGUUCUUAGUGGGCCAUUUUUGGUAAGCAGAACUGGCGAUGUGGGAUGAACCGAACGUUAAGUUAAAGUGCCAAAUAAUACGCUCAUGAGAUACCAUAAAAGGUGUUGGUUCAUUUUGACAGCAGGACGGUGGCCAUGGAAGUCGGAACCCGCUAAGGAGUGUGUAACAACUCACCUGCCGAAUGAACUAGCCCUGAAAAUGGAUGGCGCUUAAGCGUAUAACUUAUACUUAACCCUUACUUGAAUUAUUAUAGCGAGUAAGGAGUAGGAGGG
RNAcentral lists this ribosomal RNA (416 nucleotides) under uncultured eukaryote. RNAcentral's name for it is "eukaryotic LSU rRNA". It matches the Rfam family "Eukaryotic large subunit ribosomal RNA", at positions 981 to 1389 of the family's 3401-position model. The record is from RNAcentral.